This 490-nucleotide ribosomal RNA is filed under the name uncultured bacterium. Its description in RNAcentral is "partial 16S ribosomal RNA". It matches the Rfam family "Bacterial small subunit ribosomal RNA", at positions 28 to 507 of the family's 1533-position model. The record is from RNAcentral.
GAUGAACGCUAGCUACAGGCUUAACACAUGCAAGUCGCAGGGUAACAUGAGGAAAGCUUGCUUUCCUUGAUGACGACUGGCGCACGGGUGAGUAACGCGUAUCCAACCUUCCCAUAACUACGGGAUAACCCGUUGAAAGACGGCCUAAUACCGUAUGACAUCGUUUGCUGACAUCAAAUAACGAUUAAAGGUUUAGCGGUUAUGGAUGGGGAUGCGUCUGAUUAGCUUGUUGGCGGGGUAACGGCCCACCAAGGCGACGAUCAGUAGGGGUUCUGAGAGGAAGGUCCCCCACAUUGGAACUGAGACACGGUCCAAACUCCUACGGGAGGCAGCAGUGAGGAAUAUUGGUCAAUGGGCGAGAGCCUGAACCAGCCAAGUAGCGUGCAGGAUGACGGCCCUAUGGGUUGUAAACUGCUUUUAUGUGGGGAUAAAGUGCGUGACGUGUCAUGCAUUGCAGGUACCACAUGAAUAAGGACCGACUAAUUCCGUG